This is a long non-coding RNA of Eucalyptus grandis, 180 nucleotides long. RefSeq lists it as uncharacterized. The record is from RefSeq and is a predicted model, not a curated record. Lineage: Eukaryota; Viridiplantae; Streptophyta; Magnoliopsida; Myrtales; Myrtaceae. The transcript is spliced from 3 exons.
UUUUUCGCAGGAGACAGGUUUUCUAAUGUAAAAAAAUACGAGGUUGAAUUUAACAAAGCAGCACAGUCCUUGACAGAAACAUUGGUUCCAAGCACCCAGAAGAAAGCUGCUUUAAAUCGAUUAGUUAAGGACAAUGUCGCUUUAAUAGCUGUUCUAGAAAGCAAAAUUUAGUAAUCAGGA